GUUUCCUACGGGACGCAGCAGUGGGGAAUAUUGGGCAAUGGGCGCAAGCCUGACCCAGCAACGCCGCGUGAAGGAAGAAGGCUUUCGGGUUGUAAACUUCUUUUCUCAGGGACGAAGCAAGUGACGGUACCUGAGGAAUAAGCCACGGCUAACUACGUGCCAGCAGCCGCGGUAAUACGUAGGUGGCAAGCGUUAUCCGGAUUUACUGGGUGUAAAGGGCGUGUAGGCGGGAAAGCAAGGCAGAUGUGAAAAACAUGGGCUCAACCUGUGGCCUGCAUUUGAAACUGUUCUGUUUGAGUACUGGG
This 305-nucleotide ribosomal RNA is filed under the name uncultured bacterium. RNAcentral describes it as "bacterial SSU rRNA". It matches the Rfam family "Bacterial small subunit ribosomal RNA", at positions 334 to 653 of the family's 1533-position model. The record is from RNAcentral.